GACGAACGCUGGCGGCGUGCCUAAUACAUGCACGUAGGACGCAGUUGCGAACGGGUGAGUAACGCGUAGGUAACUACCUAUUAGAGGGGGCUAACUAUUGGAAACGAUAGCUAAUACCGCAUACUAGUAGAUGGACCUGCGUUGUAUUAGCUAGUAGGUAGGGGAAUGGCCUACCUAGGCAACGAUACAUAGCCGACAUGAGAGGGUGAAAGGCCAAGCUGGGAAUGAGAAACGGGCCAGACUCCUACGGGAGGCAGCAGUAGGGAAUCGUAGGCAAUGGGGGGAACACUGACCGAGCAACGCCGCGUGAGAGAAGAAGGUGUACGGAUCGUAAAGCUCUGUUGUUAAGGAAGCGGUACUUAACCAGAAAGGGACGGCUAACUACGUGCCAGCAGCCGCGGUAAUUC
This 407-nucleotide ribosomal RNA is filed under the name uncultured bacterium. RNAcentral describes it as "partial 16S ribosomal RNA". It matches the Rfam family "Bacterial small subunit ribosomal RNA", at positions 28 to 526 of the family's 1533-position model. The record is from RNAcentral.